Lagopus muta (rock ptarmigan) is the source of this 4714-nucleotide long non-coding RNA. RefSeq lists it as uncharacterized. NCBI's taxonomy places the organism in Eukaryota, Metazoa, Chordata, Aves, Galliformes, Phasianidae. The record is from RefSeq and is a predicted model, not a curated record. The transcript has 3 exons.
UUCCUGUGUACCUGAGGACUUCUGAAGAGUGGGCCAUCGAGAAUGAUUGCUGUCAGAAUGCUCUGCAUCCCAUCACCUCAUCGUGUAAUUGCCUUCCCAGUGACAUUAUGGAUGGCUGCAGCCAAUGGUUCUGUUGGGUCUCUGCAUCCUUCAGCUGCCACUUAACACAAUCAUUUCCUUUUGCAGGCUAUAAAUACGUUUGAAUUCUCUGACCUCAUGCUCCAGUAUCGUUCUCAAAGGCAGAACUAUUUCUUAUUCCAUUGCUCUUCAGCUCAUUGUGGCCUUGAAGCUCCCUCAGCCCAACAGGUGUGCAGAGCAGGAGGAAUGCAGCAGGUUGGGAUGAUGCCCUGGUAGGAGCACCCUCUGGCCCAGCCUCCAGUGACAAUUGAGUAGACAAUUAGCAAAUUAUCAUGGCCAUGGGCAAGCAUGCUCCGGGAACCAGGAGCGCUGCAUGGAUGCUUGCAAACUCACUGCUGUGCUGCUCCUUGUGCAUCUCCUUCUGCAGCCCAUACAGAGGCAGCAGGCGUGUGUCCUCCAGCUCCUGAAUCAGAUACGGUGCUCCUCUCAUUGACAGCAAUUUGCUUGCAUAAAUAAUGAAGACUACAGUCUCUUAUGACUUGCUCCCCUCGUAUUUGCCACUAAUCCCAGUCUUUUGCUGAAUAUCUGUUUCCUAAUAAUUGCAUCUGUUUUACACUCGGUUCUUUGGUGUACGAUCACUUAUUAGCAAACCUAUUACUGCUCAGAUGUUCUGCUCACAGUGACCUUGUCCCUAAACCUCUCUGCCUCUCUUCCCUAUUAAAUCACCACACUGUAACUGCUGGAGUGGAAGGAAUUUACUGCUUAAAUAAUUUAUCUAGAUUCAGUACAGAAAGUCUUUGAAGGGAUUCAUCAGCUAAUAAAGAAAAUUGAUUCUGGAAGCCAAAGUCAAUAUGGGGUUAGAGAAACACCAUCACCCUCAUGUGGGCUCUCUUCCAGGAGCCUCUGUUCGGGCUGUGAUCCCACCUAAGCACCUCCAGCUCUCCCAAACCAUGUUGGGGCUCCAUACCCCACACCUGAUGUGCUCAGCAAGGCUUUGUCCAGCACUGUGAGGGCAGAGCAGCAGUGAGCACAGAGCUGGGAGCAACCUCUGUCCUCCUGAGUGCAUGGCUCUGCUCUGAGGGGAUGCUGUCCUCUGUAUGAAGGGAUACACAUCCUCUGUGUGGUCUGAAUGAUGAUGUUCAGAUCUUACGUGCAUGUAAGCAGUGGAACAACCAAGAUACAGUUCAAAUGUGCCCUGAGAAAAACAAGUGGGAAGUGAUGUGUGAUGGAGACAUGGAAGAAAGUGGCACCUUUGGUGGCAGCCCAAAGGAGAUCAAAAAAUAAAAAUGGGCGAAGGAAAAAAGAUGGAAGAAAAUUUGGCAGCAACAUUUGGACAUAUGGCUAAUUUGUGCUUCAUGGGUAUUUCCCCAUAUGCUGCAUGUACAUGUGUUUGUUUACCCCCUGUACAGACUACAUGCCAGCAAUAGUCUCAAAACCAUCAAAAUUACCUUGUAAAAGGACCAAGCAGCUUCAGGUACGCCUGGCAGACCCCUGGGUGCUCCUCAUGAGCUGUCUGGCCAAUCCACCUCGAUGGCUUUGAGCAACAGCACAGCACGAGUGCUCCAAGCAAUGCAUGAUGUGUGCAGGGCAGUGAGGACUCUGUGUCCAUUCUCUGAGAGCCCCGUGCUGCACGCAGGGAAAGGAGCCUCUUCUCCCUCCUUGUUGCUCUGCUGGAGGCCGAUGUACCCAUCAAUAAUUCAGGUGCCUGCAGCUAGCAGCAGGUUGAUGCCCAGCUAAUGGGCACUGGGCUCACUGUGUCCUGCUUGCACUUUGCAGCACAUGCUCACACCCAUGAGCGUGUUGGCUUGCUACCCUGCAGCUGCAGGCUCAGCUCUGCAGGAACUUCAAAGCAAAGCAAGGAGGAAGAAGUCUGUGCUGGCUGCAGUCAUCAGAACCCAAAAGCACCGUCGUCUCUGCAGGCUUGAUUUAAGCUGAAAAUCCAGACCCAUUUCCUGGGUACAAAUCAUUCGAGUGAGAUGAAACGAUCAAUGGAAGAUAUCAUCUGUGAUUCACCUCCUCAGCCAAAACCAUCUCGUUGGUUUGAGAGACUUAUUGUUGGAUUUGAAUACUGCUUUCCAGGAGUGGGAAUAAAGCUGAGCGAAAUGCAGCUAAUACCCCAGCAGCAAAGCAAGAGAUGAGACAUUCAGAAAGACAGAAAUGUGCCAGUUUGGGUCGAGUGCUGAAGCUCAGCAUCCCCAGGGCCUGCAGUGUUGUGUGAUGCUAUGCUUAGGGCAGUGGCGGCCCCAGUGCUGCCCUGCUAUGGGCUGGGGAAGCUGGGCACCGCUCUCAAGGACUCUGGUGCCCUUGCACGCAAAGAUUUUUGUGAUCUGUUGAUGGAGAACAAAGUCUCUUUUUAUAGUCAUUUCAUUAUGAUGCUUAAUUCCUUCUGCAGAAGCAAUUACAUUCUAUGGGCGGAAAGCAAUAUUGGAGACUUAUGAUUGUUAUUGCCAUCCCACCCGGUGCCCGCGCGCUCACGGUGCCAUAGGAAUGACAAUCAGGGCUGGCAGUGCUGGGCUGUGCAGGGACAAAUAGAGGCUUAGUGCUCGCAGAUAACCCUGUCCAUCUGCCCAACCUCUACACUGGGGCAGCAGCAUGGCACAUCUGGUGGCUUUGCUGGGGCUGCUCAGACAUUGGGUGACCUGUGGGAGUGGGAAGCAAGAGGCCAUGGACCCUCUCUGGUCAUUCAUUGCUUCACUGGAAUUAAUUAGGCACCUUGCUGCCAACAAAUGUGGGUUUGUCGUGGAGAGUCAUCUGCCAAAUGAUGUCUUCUCCAUUGGGCACCAUUUCCCUUUGGGUAUAUUCCUCCCAAUUUGCAAAGGAUGGAGAUGCUGGGGCUGCUUGUGACAUCCCAGCACAGCGGGCAGGCUGCAAGGCUGAUGCAUCAGAGCAGCUCGUUAGUGUAAUGAUAUCAGUGAAGCUCAAUGCCAGUAGGGGCACAGAUGUGGACCUCUGUGAAGGCACAGUGUGAUCAAUGCUGCCCAUCAGGAGGGAGCUGGGCUGGGACGUGGGCAGGGCUGUGCUUGCCAUCCUUUAAUGGUUAUAAAUGGUUACCUUUAGCACUGAAAAAGCUGAAUAGAUACAAAUAUCACCAAUACCAUAAGGGUGCACAGGGCCUCAUUAUCCUUGGGUAAUCGAGGUUACGCGGAGCUGUUCUCCUUUAUCUGUCACUGUCUCUCUUGGCAACGUGAUGAAGCAGAAAAACCUCAAGGAUGAACCGCCCAGGAGGAGGGCUGGGGCCCAAAAUUGCACUGGGAGAAGGACAGAGGGCUCCCAUGCUGGGGAGCCCCAAACUGCACUGCCCAUCCCUGGGUGAGAAUUACCAACAGCACGCAUUCUGUGUUCUGCACCCAACACACAACAUGUUUGCAAACAGUGGGUACGCAGGCAUUUGAGCUUGGAAUUUGCUUUCUGUAAGUGUUCUCACUAAUGAAACCGGGGCUGUAAAAUAUUCCUGGAAAGUGCUUACAACGGCUUUCAGAUAUAUGGAAUGAUGUUUUUAUGUUAUCUCAGAUUUGCUUCCCACUCCUGAGGCCUGCAGCUCCUCCCCUCUCCCCCCACGCUCACCAUGGAGGAGCUGGGCUCUGUAGCAGCGCAGAGCAGCGCGCCGUACGUGCGAUUGCACACCUGUGCAGCCACAGAUGUUCUGACAAAAGUCCCUUGAAACUCCAUCUCUUCUCAUUAAAUGGCAAACAAAGAGAGCUGUUUCAAACAAUUCUCCUCCUCCUGUCCCCUGAAGAAGCAACCCAUGUGGCCUCAGAGCUCUGCGCAUCCCAGGCUGAGGCUGCUGCCCCAGCCAUUGCUUUGGGUUUGUUGCAGUCUUCAUUAAGAGCCGCUUAUGGGGAGAAGCUUGAGGAGUCAAGGCAAGCUGAGCUCGUUGGCUCACUAUUUCAAUUUCACUGUAGGCAGCAAUACUGUCAGUGUGAUGGAAACGACCUCAAAUUGCCAUUGUUGGGUUAUUUAAUCUGGCCAGGUUCCUUUCAGCUCUCACCUGCUGUAAAAGAAGACAAAUUGUCUCUCGUGUGCUCCAGAACCUUUACACACACAGGACAGCAGUGAUUUUGUGUGUCUGGAGCGGUGAUGCUGCUGGGCUGCGAGUGCCAGGACAGCUCUGGGCUGGGGGCUUUGUGCUGGAGCUGCAUUUCCCCAUUCUCUGAGGAGCUCUGACGGAGGAAAGCAAUAUUGCAAGUUGAAUGCAUCAGCAUUUGCUUCAGAUAUUCUCCUCGCUGAGCAUGUGUUUCCCCUUGUGGCAAACAGGAUGGUUCAGCACAGCGGGGCUGUGAUAAUGGUGGGCCAGGCUGCAGGCGAAGCCAUGCAACCCCCAGUCCUGAUUUCACUCACAGCUUCCCAAGAGCAGCUCCUGAAAGGAAAGCCGGGCAGGGAAAAGUAGUUAACUCCCCAUGGCACAUUUGAGCAUCAUUUUUAUUACCGUUCAUCUGUUCUGUGCACUUUGCCCUCUUCUGAUUUAUUCCUGCUCGAGGUGGAGCGACGUCGCUCUUCUGCAGCUCCUGUUUCCCAAGAGGGAUGGUUCAUUCUCAGUGUGUGUGGCUGUGUUCUGGAGGUGUCCCCAUAGGAAAAUCAGGGGUGGCAGCACCCCAGGGAUGCUUCCUGCCCAGGGCUGGCCUCACAAUCCAGCCUG